GGGGAGUACGCCGGCAACGGUGAAACUCAAAGGAAUUGACGGGGGCCCGCACAAGCGGAGGAACAUGUGGUUUAAUUCGAUGAUACGCGAGGAACCUUACCCGGGCUCAAACGUUGGGGGAAUGCUCCUGAAAGGGAGCAGCCAGCAAUGGUCGCCAACGAGGUGCUGCAUGGUUGUCGUCAGCUCGUGCCGUGAGGUGUCGGCUUAAGUGCCAUAACGAGCGCAACCCCUGCGUCCAGUUACCAUCAAGUCAUGUUGGGGACUCUGGACGGACUGCCGGCGCAAGCCGUGAGGAAGGCGGGGAUGACGUCAAAUCAGCACGGCCCUUACGUCCGGGGCGACACACGUGUUACAAUGGCGUGGAACAGCGGGAAGCCACCUGGCGACAGGGAGCGGACCCCUAAAACACGUCUCAGUUCGGAUUGGAGUCUGCAACUCGACUCCAUGAAGCUGGAUUCGCUAGUAAUCGCGCAUCAGCCAUGGUGCGGUGAAUACGUUCCCGGGCCUUGUACACACCGCCCGUCAAGCCAUGGGAGCCGGGAGUGCCUGAAGUACGUAACCGGAAGGAGCGUCCAAGGGUAACACUGGUGACUGGGGCUAAGUCGUAACAAGGUAACC
This 618-nucleotide ribosomal RNA is filed under the name uncultured bacterium. RNAcentral's name for it is "bacterial SSU rRNA". It matches the Rfam family "Bacterial small subunit ribosomal RNA", at positions 875 to 1501 of the family's 1533-position model. The record is from RNAcentral.